This 827-nucleotide ribosomal RNA is filed under the name uncultured bacterium. RNAcentral describes it as "bacterial SSU rRNA". It matches the Rfam family "Bacterial small subunit ribosomal RNA", at positions 627 to 1453 of the family's 1533-position model. The record is from RNAcentral.
UGGAAACUGUNUGACUUGAGUGCAGAAGGGGAGAGUGGAAUUCCAUGUGUAGCGGUGAAAUGCGUAGAUAUAUGGAGGANCACCAGUGGCGAAAGCGGCUCUCUGNUCUGUCACUGACGCUGAGGCUNGAAAGCGUGGGUAGCGAACAGGAUUAGAUACCCUGGUAGUNCACGCCGUAAACGAUGAGUGCUAGGUGUUAGGCCCUUUCCGGGGCUUAGUGCCGGAGCUAACGCAGUAAGCACUCCGCCUGGGGAGUACGACCGCAAGGUUGAAACUCAAAGGAAUUGACGGGGGCCCGCACAAGCGGUGGAGCAUGUGGUUUAAUUCGAAGCAACGCGAAGAACCUUACCAGGUCUUGACAUCCCGAUGCUAUUCUUAGAGAUAGGAAGUUACUUCGGUACAUCGGAGACAGGUGGUGCAUGGUUGUCGUCAGCUCGUGUCGUGAGAUGUUGGGUUAAGUCCCGCAACGAGCGCAACCCUUAUUGUUAGUUGCCAUCAUUAAGUUGGGCACUCUAGCGAGACUGCCGGUAAUAAACCGGAGGAAGGUGGGGAUGACGUCAAAUCAUCAUGCCCCUUAUGACCUGGGCUACACACGUGCUACAAUGGUCGGUACAACGAGUUGCGAGCCGGUGACGGCAAGCUAAUCUCUGAAAGCCGAUCUCAGUUCGGAUUGGAGGCUGCAACUCGCCUCCAUGAAGUCGGAAUCGCUAGUAAUCGCGGAUCAGCACGCCGCGGUGAAUACGUUCCCGGGCCUUGUACACACCGCCCGUCACACCACGAGAGUUUGUAACACCCGAAGUCGGUGAGGUAACCUUUUAGGGGCCAGC